RNAcentral lists this ribosomal RNA (253 nucleotides) under uncultured bacterium. RNAcentral describes it as "partial 16S ribosomal RNA". It matches the Rfam family "Bacterial small subunit ribosomal RNA", at positions 524 to 776 of the family's 1533-position model. The record is from RNAcentral.
UACGUAGGGUGCGAGCGUUAAUCGGAAUUACUGGGCGUAAAGCGUGCGCAGGCGGUUUUGUAAGCCCGAUGUGAAAUCCCCGGGCUUAACCUGGGAAUGGCAUUUGGGACUGCAAGGCUUGAGUGCGGCAGAGGAGACUGGAAUUCCUGGUGUAGCAGUGAAAUGCGUAGAUAUCAGGAGGAACACCGGUGGCGAAGGCGGGUCUCUGGGCCGUAACUGACGCUGAGGAGCGAAAGCAUGGGGAGCGAACAGG